GCUUCUUUAAUUCUUUCAAGUUAAUCGGCAGCAUAAUUGCCAACCUAGCCAUUGUAAAUACCGACAUGUGAUCGAGUUCAAGAAUCAUUUGUGCAAUUAGAGGUAAAGACAUUGGAGGGAUUCUUAUUUUCCAGUCAAAUUCUAUUUUUCUCUUAAUUAGCAUCAUAAAAUUGAACCCGAAGUUUAAGUUCCAAAACUAAUACCAUAACACCCACUACAAGAAAACAUGGAUUAAGUGACUGAAUUUUUUGUGGCGCGUGAAAAUUCCUCACAUAUAGGUAAAACAAGUGACGCUUUUCUAAAAAUCGUCACUUUAAGAUUUUUGCAGGACACCAAAAUAUUUUGCGUCACUUAUACUUUUGGAUUCGCCACAAAAAAGUGGGCGGGAAAGUUUACUGCCAAACGAAACUUUAAUAAGUGACGCAAUGUUAAAUUCAUCACAUAUGAAGAGGGAAGGCCACCUGGCCAUUCCUCACAUAUAAUAUUGAAUUAAAAAUAAAAAAUAUAGAUGCAAUUAUCAAAACCCCCAAAUAACAAAACUUAUCCAUUUAUUCUCAUUUCUUCCCAGUCUUCAGCACCCUUUCGUCUACUCCUUCACCCUAACUUCGACGACCGGCUACUUGGUGGUUGCUAGCGACGGCGACUACCACCUCUCCUUCGUCUCCCUCCCUCAGCCAUUCUCCCACCCUUUGAUUCUCGUUCACUAACUCUCUUAUCUCUUUGACAUAACAAGAUCAAAUUGGGGAAAGAGAAGUUCUAUUUUUUCUCAAGUUCUUUCAGUUGACAACAAGGUACUUUGUUUCUCUAUAUUUCUUUAAUUGUUUUUGGAUUUUUUUCUUUAAUUGUUCCCCAGAUUCUGAUUUUCUUUCGCUAAAGAUCCUAUUGUUGGUGAAUUGUUCUCUGCUUCAUACUAGCAGUGAGUUUUCUGUUCCAGUCUUGAUUCUUCUUUACUUUUUGGAGUCAAAAUUUUGGUCUUGGUGGUUAAUAUAUGUUUUUAUAUUUUUUCUUAGUCCCCUGACUAAGUGUUAUCUUUUUGUUUUUUGUUUUUGUUCAAAUGUUGGAAGUCGGUAACCAUUAAGUUGCGUGUUGUCUUUCUUGAGAGAGGUGUUGUCAAGAGUCAAGACUAUGUUCGCCUUGAAUUUUUUUGGGUAGGGCCUACAAUGAUCUUAGUGCCAUUUCUUACUAGCUACUUGUGCUGGGAAUUCUUUAGAUGUGUACUUUCUUGUGUUUUGGCUGGCUGAAAAGGGGUGAUGGUGGAGAUCUGGUAGCAUAUAAAUAUAAGAAAUGAUUAAAACUACUUACAUCCCUCCAGUAGAACUCUGAAAACCACUCGUAGAAUUCUCUGGAAAUUUUAAGUUUGUUUGAAUGUAUUUUUCAUAGAUUGAUUGAAUGUACAAGAGGGGAUAUAUAAUGAGGUAGAAGGUUACAAGCAACCCUACCUUGGCAAAUCCUACUAACUCGGUAAACCCUAAAGUUGUCACUCCUUAAAUUAAGGGAGUGCAACAAGUAGCUAGCAUACAACUAUCAACAAGUCAUCUAGAUGUCAAUCUUCCUCAAAUUAAGGAAUUAGACUUAAUAGAGAAUACCAUGGAAAGAGGAAACAUAAAAUCUGGUAGCAUCAGUCACCUCAUAUCGUCUAAUAUCCAUAUGCAGCAUUAGUCAUAUGCAACAUCAGUCACCCCAUAUGUAUGCAACAGCAGUUAUGCAGCAUUAGUCACCCCAUAUGUAUGUAGCAUCAGUUAUGCAGCAUCAGUCAUAUGCAGCAUCAGUCACCCCAUAUGUAUGCAACAUCAAUUUUUCAUUGUGAUUCGGGGAAAAAAGAGCGUUUAUAUGACAUGAAGAGGAAAGGUGGGAAAAAGGUGAAUAUGAUAGUUUAAGAUGAUGGAUUAAGAGCCACAGAGUGGACUCCAUCUAGCAUCUUACGAUUACGCUCUUAUUUAACUAUACUCUAAUGCACAUUUAUCUUUGUACAUUUAUGAAAUUUUUAUACUUUCAUGAUUUUCAGGAUUGAAGGUGCUCAAGGUCAAGAUUACUUAAGUACAAGACUAAAGCUCCAAGUUGGUAUGUUGUCUUUAAUGCUUGCAAUUUACAAUGACAUAUUAUUAAUGCUACCGCUAGCCAAAUAAUCAUUGCAUUUAAAUAGUAAUGAUGAAUACGAAGUAUUGUGCAUGUAUAUGCUGAAAGCACGGUGGUUUUUCUGUUAGAUUAUUGCAACUUUAGUAUCUAGCAUGGUGAUUUUUUUAUGAUUUCUCUAUUUUCUAGUACGUUUGUUUUAGCAUCUAGUUGUUGUUGAGUUGGGAUAUGUGAAUUUUUCAAUUGAGCUUCUUGAAGUUUUUGGUUGUUAUAUUAUACGUCUAUUUUAACAACUUUACAUAUAUAUUCAUAUAUAUAUUUUCUAUUAUGGCAACCUAUUGAAAUAUGUCAGAGUAUGCAGCUCAAUACUAGGAUUGAAGUGAUCUGAUUUCAUGGAUUGACAAUGGAUUCGUAGUCGGGAUCGCCUUCGUUCCGAAUAUAGAAAAGGGAUCAAGUCAUUUAUUGACAUUGCUUGCCACCAUGUGAACGAGAAUAAUCAAAUACCAUGUCCUUGUAGAGUUUGCCAUAACACAUUUUUUCACUUAGUUGAAGAUGUUCAUCUCCAUUUGUUGAAUUCUGGUAUGGAUAUGAAUUAUGAUAGAUGGAUCAUGGGGAGCAUAUCCAACAAGUGCAGGGAGAAUCUUCGGUAUCUACGAACAAUGAGCCAACCAGUAACUCUAAUGUCAACAUGUUUAAUAUGAUUGAGGAUGUCUUUGAAGGAAUAGAUGAUGAUGAUGAUGAUGAUGAUGAUGAUGAAGAUACAAUGGGGAACCAAGAUACCAUGUGGGGUGGUGAUAUGACCAAUGCGUGGACAGAUGUUGAUACUUAUGAGAUGUUACUUGGUGAAGCUCAAAAGGAACUAUACCCUGGAUGUAAGUAAUAUAUAGUUUUGACAUACGUCGUAGAGUUGAUUCAUACUAAAGUUGACAACCAUAUGACAAAUAAGGCAAUUGAUAAGAUGUUAGCAAUGAUGAAGAAGAUGUGUCCCCAGCCUAACAAUGUCCCUAACUCAUUUCAUGAGUGCAAGAAGAUAUUGACAAGUCUUGGAUUGGGGUGUGAAAAUAUACAUGCUUGCUACUAUGAUUGUGCACUAUUUUAUAAAGAACACAAAAAGAAAGAGAGAUGUCCAGUUUGUAAUGAGCCAAGGUAUAAGGAUAGUCAUUAUGAGCAGAGGAAGAAAGUUCCAAGAAAAAUGUUGCGAUACUUUCCACUUAAGCCAAAGCUAUAGAGGUUGUUCAUAUCGAGACAUACGAGCAAAGACAUGAGGUGGCACAAGGAGAAAAGAAUCAAUGAUGGGAACACAAUGAGGCAUCCAGCAGACUCGAAUGCUUGGAAAGAAUUUGACCAAAUGUACCCUAAUUUUGCUCGAGACCCACGAAAUGUCCAAUUGGGCCUUGUGAGUGAUGGGUUUACUCCUUAUUUAGAUAUAAGUAAGCCGUAUAAUAUGUGGCUAGUUGUUGUAUUUCCAUAUAAUUUGCCCCCAUGGAAAUGCAUGAAUAAACCUUUUUCUAUUCUGACCUUAUUAAUUCCUGGACCAAAAGCACCUGGAAAUGAGAUUGAUGUUUAUUUGCAUCCAUUGGUUGAUGAGCUUAAGGAACUGUGGGAAAAUGGUGUUCCAACCCAUGAUAAGAUGACUAGGAGUAUAUUUAAUUUGCGUGCAGCUGUUAUGUGGACCAUUAAUGACUUCCCGGCUUAUGAAAAUUUAUCAGGUUGGAGCACUCAUGGCAAGUUGGCAUGUCCAGUGUGCAAUGAGGAUGGAUCUUACACUAAGUUGAGAGACAAGUAUUGUCACAUUGGGCACCGUCGUUACUUACCUAUGAAUCACUCAUGGCUAAAAAAUUUUCAACUCUUUAAUGGUCGCCGAGAGAUGAGACAUUAGGGCUGGGUUCGGUUCAAAUCGAUUCGAUUUUUUGCCAAAACUGAAACCAAACCGAAAUUUCGAUUUGGCCUAUUUUUUUUUUUUGGUUUUAGUUGGUUCGGUUUUUUUUUUUUUUUUUUUUUUUUUUCAAAAAAAAUGAAAAAAAGAUUGAAAUAUGAAAUUUUAACAUCUCCAACACAAUCACACUCAAGUCUUCGACACUUAAAAUAAACAUAACGUCCAAACUUUAAAGUCCUCAAGCACACACCUUCUUUUCAAGCUCAAGCUAAUUUAAUUAAGAUACAAAACAUAUAAUAAGAUUCAAUUAGAGAACGACCCUAAAUCACGAUUCAUAAAGCUUUCCCAUACACCAAUUACAUAACAUAUAGCUGUAAAGAACAGAACAUAACAUCCAAUGGGUCAGUGAAUGGAUAACAUGUCAGAACGUGAGAACUUAGAUUGUCUACAGAACAACUGAUCUUUGCUGCAGCUUGGGUUAUCUAUUUAUACAAAAGCUAGCCUUUAUUUUAGUAUGAAACAAAAUUAUAAUAAGGAAGAAGAAACUAUAUAUUUUCUAUUGUAAAUUCAUAUCUUAUUAAUGCAGAUAAGGGUAUGGUUUUUGUCAACUAACUCCAAUGGAGAUAAGGGUUUACUAAGCUUUCCGAAACUCGGUCGGUAUGGUUCUGUGCAAACAUCACCAUUUUUGGUACCUUCCAUCCUUUCCAAAACCAGCAUAUACAAAAUCACUAUUCUAUAAAACACUCUCAGAAAUGACUAGUUACAAUUAAUCAUUUGAAAUACAUGUAUUUAAUAAUUUCAUUCCAAUACACACAAUUUUUGAAAUCGAGUUGUGAAUUGACAGGGACACCAUAAUCUGCAGGGCCUGCAUCAUAAUUUGUGAAUUUUUGUCUAUCGAUUUUAUCACCAUUGCUUUGAUAAUUCGGCUUCCAUUAAACAACAGUGUUGUAACAUAUCAGUGAAAAAGAAAUUUAUUGAAUUGGCUAUCAAACUGAUGGCUGAAGAAGAAGAUAGUUCAUAUUUGUAUGGGAACACAAAGUAUCGAAGUCGAACCCAGUUUUCACCACAAGGGUAUGUAUGUUCAGACUUUAGAUGCACAGCCAAUGGUUACAAACCCUUAAAUUAAAACCUCAUAUUUUUUCUAAUUGGCAACCCCUUCCUCACCCAUCAGAUUCUUCCAAUUGACAACAAUAGUAAGCAUUCUAAUUGACAAUAAUAAUGAGCAUUACUAUCAAAGGAAAUCUGUAGAACAUGAGAGACUGACUGACUAACCUUGCAAAGGCAGUCAUGGGUCGAGAGACUCGAGAUUGGAAACGACGAGAGAACUCAGAGCCAGAAGAGGUCGCGGGUCACGCCUUCACGGGUCACGAGGGUGAGAGAUUGAGAGUGAGACAGCGACACUGACUGAGAGUGAGACGGGUAGCACGGUCGCAAGUCGCAGGUCGUAGGUCGUAAGGAAGAAGACAAAGAUAGGUAGCAGGUGCGAGGAGCAGCGUAACGGCGGAGGCUGCGAAUGGGAACUGGGAACUUGGGAUUUGGGAAGGCUAUGGGAAGGGAAGGGUUUCUGACUAGAGUACAGAGGGAAGGGAAGACCCAAAGGUGGCCAAGGGUAAAGGGGUAGGGUUUCAGACUGAAAGAAUGACAUCGUUUAAUAAUAAAGAUAUUAAUUUAUAAUUAAUUAUAAAAACUUCGGUUCGGUUCGAUUUCUGAACCCUAAAAACCAAACCAAACCAAAACAAUUUCAGUUUGGUUCGGUUUUUUAGUUUCGGUUCGUUUUUUUUUCGGUUCCAUUUUUUUCGGCUUUGGUUCGGUUUAGUUUUGGGUUUUUUGAACCCACCCCUAUGAGACAUCGUCCUAGAGAAUUCUCAAGUGAUGACAUACUUGAUCAACUUGAUUCCCUUUUACCUCGUACACUU
Molecule: long non-coding RNA, 5865 nt
Filed under: Malus domestica (apple)
Lineage: Eukaryota; Viridiplantae; Streptophyta; Magnoliopsida; Rosales; Rosaceae
Description: long non-coding RNA (MDOM_LNC010414)
Source: RNAcentral